RNAcentral lists this ribosomal RNA (247 nucleotides) under uncultured Clostridiisalibacter sp. RNAcentral describes it as "partial 16S ribosomal RNA". It matches the Rfam family "Bacterial small subunit ribosomal RNA", at positions 796 to 1041 of the family's 1533-position model. Lineage: Bacteria; Bacillati; Bacillota; Tissierellia; Tissierellales; Thermohalobacteraceae. The record is from RNAcentral.
CACGCUGUAAACGAUGAGUGCUAGGUGUCGGGGGCGACAGUCUUCGGUGCCGCAGUUAACACAUUAAGCACUCCGCCUGGGGAGUACGGUCGCAAGACUGAAACUCAAAGGAAUUGACGGGGGCCCGCACAAGCAGCGGAGCAUGUGGUUUAAUUCGACGCAACGCGAAGAACCUUACCAAGACUUGACAUCCCUUAGCCAGUCUUAGAGAUAAGAUUUUCCCUUCGGGGACUAAGGUGACAGGUGG